GAUGAACGCUAGCAGGAGGCUUAAUACAUGCAAGUCGAGGGGUAACGAUGGUGCUUGCACCAGGCGACGACCGGCGAACGGGUGAGUAACGCGUACAUAACCUACCUACAAGAGGGAGAUAGCCCUGGGAAACUGGGAUUAAUACCCCAUAUUAUUAUGAUUUAAAUUAUAAUGAAAGCUCCGGCGCUUGUAGAUGGAUGUGCGUCCCAUUAGCUAGUUGGUAAGGUAACGGCUUACCAAGGCGACGAUGGGUAGGGGGCGUGAGAGCGUGAUCCCCCACACGGGUACUGAGACACGGACCCGACUCCUACGGGAGGCAGCAGUAAGGAAUAUUGGACAAUGGGCGCAAGCCUGAUCCAGCCAUCCUGCGUGAAGGAUGACGGCCCUAUGGGUUGUAAACUUCUUUUAUGAGAGAAGAAAAGUAUUGAUUUAUCAGUAUCUGACGGUAUCUCAUGAAUAAGCACCGGCUAACUCCG
Molecule: ribosomal RNA, 476 nt
Filed under: uncultured Saprospiraceae bacterium
Lineage: Bacteria; Pseudomonadati; Bacteroidota; Saprospiria; Saprospirales; Saprospiraceae
Description: bacterial SSU rRNA
Rfam family: Bacterial small subunit ribosomal RNA
Source: RNAcentral